GAUGAACGCUGGCGGCGUGCCUAAUACAUGCAAGUCGAGCGAACGGACGAGAAGCUUGCUUCUCUGAUGUUAGCGGCGGACGGGUGAGUAACACGUGGAUAACCUACCUAUAAGACUGGGAUAACUUCGGGAAACCGGAGCUAAUACCGGAUGAUAUUUUGAACCGCAUGGUUCAAAAGUGAAAGACGGUCUUGCUGUCACUUAUGGAUGGAUCCGCGCUGCAUUAGCUAGUUGGUAAGGUAACGGCUUACCAAGGCAACGAUGCAUAGCCGACCUGAGAGGGUGAUCGGCCACACUGGAACUGAGACACGGUCCAGACUCCUACGGGAGGCAGCAGUAGGGAAUCUUCCGCAAUGGGCGAAAGCCUGACGGAGCAACGCCGCGUGAGUGAUGAAGGUCUUCGGAUCGUAAAACUCUGUUAUUAGGGAAGAACAUAUGUGUAAGUAACUGUGCACAUCUUGACGGUACCUAAUCAGAAAGCCACGGCUAACUACGUG
RNAcentral lists this ribosomal RNA (497 nucleotides) under uncultured bacterium. RNAcentral's name for it is "partial 16S ribosomal RNA". It matches the Rfam family "Bacterial small subunit ribosomal RNA", at positions 28 to 507 of the family's 1533-position model. The record is from RNAcentral.